Molecule: long non-coding RNA, 389 nt
Organism: Uranotaenia lowii
Lineage: Eukaryota; Metazoa; Arthropoda; Insecta; Diptera; Culicidae
Exons: 2
Source: RefSeq, a predicted model, not a curated record
AAAAAGCGCCUAAUCAAAACUCAAAAAUAUUAUACACAAACAUGAAGCUCUUCCCAGUAUUCACAGUGCUAGUUACGAUCUACAUCGGUGCGGCAAUAGGCAAACCAGCUCUAGAACCCGAGCCUUGUGGGGAACACGAAUUCUGGGAUGACUGCGAUCAAUUAGAAUCACGGCCGACAUGUGAAAACCCUUUAGAAAUUCCACAAGACUUUAUUACGGUCAUUUGCCCAACUAAAAGGUGCGUAUGUGAAGAGGGAUACAUUCUGGAUGCCAACCAAGUGUGCAUACCGAAGGACCAAUGUUAAUGUGAAUAAUAUGAAACUAAACUAUUAUUAAGUUGGCUGAUUUCAUCAAUUUAAAACAUCCAAGGACUUUUAUCUCGUUUUUUU